GAUGAACGCUAGCUACAGGCUUAACACAUGCAAGUCGAGGGGAAACGACAUCGAAAGCUUGCUUUUGAUGGGCGUCGACCGGCGCACGGGUGAGUAACGCGUAUCCAACCUGCCCAUCACUUGGGAAUAACCUUGCGAAAGUAAGACUAAUACCCAAUGACAUCCCACGAAGACAUCUGAAUGGGAUUAAAGAUUUAUCGGUGAUGGAUGGGGAUGCGUCUGAUUAGCUUGUUGGCGGGGUAACGGCCCACCAAGGCAACGAUCAGUAGGGGUUCUGAGAGGAAGGUCCCCCACAUUGGAACUGAGACACGGUCCAAACGCCUACGGGAGGCAGCAGUGAGGAAUAUUGGUCAAUGGGCGAGAGCCUGAACCAGCCAAGUAGCGUGCAGGAGGACGGCCCUAUGGGUUGUAAACUGCUUUUAUAAGGGAAGAAAGUGGGUCUCGUGAGACUUUUUGCAUGUACCUUAUGAAUAAGGACCGGCUAAUUCCGUG
RNAcentral lists this ribosomal RNA (492 nucleotides) under uncultured bacterium. RNAcentral's name for it is "partial 16S ribosomal RNA". It matches the Rfam family "Bacterial small subunit ribosomal RNA", at positions 28 to 507 of the family's 1533-position model. The record is from RNAcentral.